RNAcentral lists this unclassified non-coding RNA (391 nucleotides) under fungal sp. Its description in RNAcentral is "partial internal transcribed spacer region". The stretch from base 1 to 46 matches the Rfam family "Eukaryotic small subunit ribosomal RNA", at positions 1786 to 1831 of the family's 1831-position model. The record is from RNAcentral. Lineage: Eukaryota; Fungi.
AAGUCGUAACAAGGUUUCCGUAGGUGAACCUGCGGAAGGAUCAUUAACACGUAUCCACGUUUAUCAACUAACACGACGAACUGCACACCAUCUCCCCGUAGACUACCUAAUUCUAAGCUGUUGAAGGAGGCUAUAAUGGGUCCAGCUUGCUGGACAGGCUUCCCGAGACUAAUGGCCCUCGAGGUCGUAAGCGAAGUAACUGGCUAGUCGGGCUUUACUCAUUCCACCGUGGGCUUUCCCAUUUACCAGCUACGUGGUUUGAACCCAUAACCAUUUUCACCCUAUCUUACCAAAUUGGCUAAUAACUACAGUUCUCGAGAGAAAUCUCGACUGAACUUCUAAGAUUUAUCUUAACUAAGCACAACUCUUAGCAAUGGAUAUCUUGGUUCUC